Molecule: ribosomal RNA, 508 nt
Filed under: uncultured soil bacterium
Lineage: Bacteria
Description: bacterial SSU rRNA
Rfam family: Bacterial small subunit ribosomal RNA
Source: RNAcentral
AGAGUUUGAUCCUGGCUCAGAAUCAACGCUGGCGGCGUGCCUCAGACAUGCAAGUCGACCGCGAAAGUUCCCUUCGGGGAGCAAGUAGAGUGGCGCACGGGUGAGUAACACGUAGGUAAUCUACCUUUGGAUGGGGAAUAACAACCGGAAACGGUUGCUAAUACCGCAUAAUGCAGCGGCACCUAAUGGUGACAGUUGUUAAAGCGGGGGAUCGAAAGACCUCGCGUCUGAAGAGGAGCCUGCGGCGGAUUAGCUAGUUGGUAAGGUAAUGGCUUACCAAGCCGAUGAUCCGUAACCGGCCUGAGAGGGCGGUCGGUCACAGAGACACUGACAUACGGGUCAGACUCCUACGGGAGGCAGCAGUCGGGAAUUUUGGGCAAUGGGCGAAAGCCUGUCCCAGCAACGCCGCGUGAAGGAUGAAAUCCCUCGGGAUUUUUCUUCCAAGAACAGGAAGAAUAAGUAGGGGACAAUACCCCCUAUGAUGACGGUACUGUUGGAGUCCAGUUUU